AUUGAACGCUGGCGGCAUGCUUUACACAUGCAAGUCGAACGGCAGCGCGGGCUUCGGCCUGGCGGCGAGUGGCGAACGGGUGAGUAAUACAUCGGAACGUGCCCAGUAGUGGGGGAUAGCUCGGCGAAAGCCGGAUUAAUACCGCAUACGACCUGAGGGUGAAAGCUGGGGAUCUUCGGACCUCGCGCUAUUUGAGCGGUCGAUGGCAGAUUAGCUAGUUGGUGGGGUAAAGGCCUACCAAGGCGACGAUCUGUAGCUGGUCUGAGAGGACGACCAGCCAAAGUGGGGCUGGGACAGGGCCCAGGAGCCUGCGGGAGGGAGCAGUGGGGAAUUUUGGACAAUGGGCGGAAGCCUGAUCCAGCAAUGCCGCGUGUGUGAUGAAGGCCUUCGGGUUGGAAAGCACUUUUGGCGGGAACGAAAAGGACUGGGCCAAUACCAAGGUUCGGUGACGGUAACCGCAGAAUAAGCACCGGCUAACUACGUG
RNAcentral lists this ribosomal RNA (484 nucleotides) under uncultured bacterium. RNAcentral's name for it is "partial 16S ribosomal RNA". It matches the Rfam family "Bacterial small subunit ribosomal RNA", at positions 29 to 507 of the family's 1533-position model. The record is from RNAcentral.